AAAAAUUUAGUUAAACUAAUAACAUUAGCUUGUCAAGCUAAAAUUAAUAAUUUAUUAAUUUUUA
RNAcentral lists this transfer RNA (64 nucleotides) under Tenebrionoidea sp. 21 KM-2017. RNAcentral's name for it is "tRNA-Asp". Lineage: Eukaryota; Metazoa; Arthropoda; Insecta; Coleoptera. The record is from RNAcentral.